Molecule: long non-coding RNA, 1554 nt
Organism: Neogobius melanostomus (round goby)
Lineage: Eukaryota; Metazoa; Chordata; Actinopteri; Gobiiformes; Gobiidae
Source: Ensembl
CAAUACACCCCUGUCUUUGGCCUCAGCUGGAGCUACUUUCACCAGUAUUGUGUCUCCGACACACACUGUGGUGUUUCCUCCAAUAAAUGCAUCCCCAGGAAACAGUGGCAGCUUAACUGUUACUCAAAGUUUAGGAGAUGCAGUUGUAAUUACCGCUGUACCAAGUGUGCCCUCCAACAUAGUUCAGUCUCCGCCGUCAAGCACCACUGUACUUUCUUCUGUUUGCCUGGACCAGCAGGGCCUAAUUCAGCAGAUGGGUAUGGCCACAGCCCAGUCAUCACUUCAGCCUCAGCCUCCACCUGCUAUACAACAGCAUGUGCCGAUAGUGCAACAACAAAUUCCAAUUCCACCUGUUCAUCAAGCUGCAGCAGUCACACCUGUGCAGCCGGUUCACCUAGUACAGCCAGUGCAGUCAGUCGCACCGGCGCAGCAGAACUUGACCCCACUACCACAGCGGCAACAGACUCACAUGGGCCCAGACAAGCUUCAGCUCCAGCAGCCUGUGCAGUUACAGCAGCAACAACAACAACAACAACAACUGAUGCAGCCAGUGCCAUUGCAAAUAGUUCCACAACAGCAGAAUGUGCCUCUGCAGACGUUUGUACCAACUUCCCCCUCCAACAGCAGGUCUUGGCUCCUACAGCAGGUGUCACCCAGACACUGAAUGAACAGUUACAUUUACAGCAGGUUCAACUACAGCAGCAGCUGUUGCAAGGCAAUGUGGCUUUAAAUCCAGACCCAGUGAUUCCUUUGUCCAUUAAUCAACAGUUUGUUCCACAGCCGUCACAGCUCAGUUUUAGCCCUGUCCCACUAGAGCAGAUUCAACCAUUGCAAUUUACUCAAGAAACUCAACAACAACAUGUGCUAUCCCAGAAUCUGCCUCAGCACUUUGAGCAACAGGAUACUGCCCAGAAACAGCAGCACUUUGCUGUGCAGAAACAGUCAUCCCUAAGUCAAAGGUCUGAGUCUGAGGUUUCCACAGAAGACGCAAGUGUGACGGAGGACUCUGGUGCUCCUCACCCUUCAUCGGAUUCAUCCCUUCCACCUCUCUGUCUAAACACAGGCGAAACUCUGCCUGCUCUGGCCCACGCAAUGACACCAUCUCCUGCGCAGCCUUCGUCUGUCGCUGAGUCUGACAGUGAAGGCCCUCCAAAAAUAGAAUUUGUGGACAAUCGUAUCAAGACCCUAGAUGAAAAAUUGCGUAAUUUGUUGUAUCAGGAAUAUACCAGUGGCACAGCGUUGACUGGGGGAUCUUUGUCAGCUCCUACAUCUGUGUCUGCUGGCUCUGCUGCAGGUGGAGACGAAUCAUCACAAGCACAAUCCAAGCACUCUGGGACGUGUGCUCCUGCCACCUGUUCCUCUGAUACCUCCCCACACUCCUCCACGUCUAGCACCUCCUCCACCACUCCCCGCUCCUCCUCCACCUCCCCUGAGCUGGAGAGGGGUGAAAGGGCUGAUGAAGGUUUUCGUAAGUCAUCUGAGGUUAUCCCAGUGGAGCAACACCCUGGCCCGUGUCUGCUCACAGGUGGGUGGAGUAGCCAAACUGUUUACUAA